RNAcentral lists this long non-coding RNA (600 nucleotides) under Ictidomys tridecemlineatus (thirteen-lined ground squirrel). RNAcentral describes it as "lncRNA (ENSSTOG00000030015.1)". Lineage: Eukaryota; Metazoa; Chordata; Mammalia; Rodentia; Sciuridae. The record is from RNAcentral.
GAAACCCACAGGGGGGAUGAGAUGGCCCAGGGACGCCAGCUGUGCAGUGGCGGGUGGGGCUCUAGGCCAUGCUGUGUACCCUCGGAUCCUAGCCACCACCCAGCUCUCCCCCUGUUGUUCUACCCUGCUCUGUCUUCCUCUAGCUACGGGUAUAAUUUAGGACUCACACUCCCUUAAAAUAUGGUCCUUGUCAUUGCCUUUGUGGCAAUUUCUGCUCUUCUUUCUCUCUUCUGAAAGGUCACCUACCUAACCUUCACUGCCACUUCCAUCUGUGGCCGUCCUCCACACCCACCCCUUCCAGCAGAUGCACGGUUCCCUUGCUUGUCGUAAGCUAUUCCUUGCAAAGUCUGUCUCCCCUCCCUCCCCUGCAGCAGAGCCUAUGGUCUUUCUGUGUUUCUGACUCCUGGAGCAGCCCCGGGACCCUCGAGUUACAUGGUAGAUGGGAAGAUGUCCCUGCUUCUGGGAAUCCUGGUCUUCACAGGAGACCUUCUCUCCAGUUCAUGAGUAGAGGAAGCCAAGAGUAAGUUUGCCAAUUUACCAAACCUGGGCGUCGUCUGGUUUGAAACCUUAUUCUAAACGUACUUUCUUUCUAAAACACUC